Molecule: RNA transcript, 411 nt
Organism: Mastomys coucha (southern multimammate mouse)
Lineage: Eukaryota; Metazoa; Chordata; Mammalia; Rodentia; Muridae
Gene name: protein kish-A pseudogene
Exons: 1
Source: RefSeq, a predicted model, not a curated record
GCCCCGGCCCGGAAGGGUGAUGUGGCUGGACCAGCACUGGCUUCACUAUGUCUGCCAUUUUCAAUUUUCAGAGUCUAUUGACUGUAAUCUUGCUGCUUAUAUGUAUGUGUGCUUAUAUCCGAUCCAUGGCACCCACCAUCCUGGACAGAAAUAAAACUGGACUAUUGGGAAUAUUUUGGAAGUGUGUCCGAAUUGGUGAACGCAAGAGUCCUGAUGUCACCAUAUGCUGUAUAGUGAUGGACUUCAGCAUCCUUUUCAUGCAGUAGCUUCAGAAACUACCAGCAUGUGAUUGCCAUCAGACUGUAAACAAGGACUUGCCUCCAGAAAAUAAUGAGAAGAAUGGUUAAGCCAUUUGUCUCUGAACAUGGAUGAGAUAAAUUUCGAGAUGCUGUUCACUAUUUUUAUGCUAUU